Molecule: ribosomal RNA, 253 nt
Filed under: uncultured bacterium
Lineage: Bacteria
Description: partial 16S ribosomal RNA
Rfam family: Bacterial small subunit ribosomal RNA
Source: RNAcentral
GACAGAGGAGCCAAGCGUUGUCCGGACUGACUGGGCGUAAAGCGCCCGCAGGCGGCCGUGCACGUGGGGUGUGAAAGCGCUCGGCUUAACUGAGCGAGGCCAUCCCAUACGGCGCGGCUCGAGCCGUCCAGAGGCCGGUGGAAUUGCCGGUGUAGUGGUGAAAUUCGUAGAUAUCGGGAGGAACACCGGUGGCGAAGGCGGCGAUCUGGGUCGAUACUGACGCUGAGACGCGAAAGCGUGGGGAGCGAACAGG